UACAGAGGUCUCAAGCGUUGUUCGGAUUCAUUGGGCGUAAAGGGUGCGUAGGCGGCGCGGUAAGUCGGGUGUGAAAUUUCGAGGCUUAACUUCGAAACUGCAUUCGAUACUGCCGUGCUUAGAGGACUGGAGAGGAGACUGGAAUUUACGGUGUAGCGGUGAAAUGCGUAGAUAUCGUAAGGAAGACCAGUGGCGAAGGCGGGUCUCUGGACAGUUCCUGACGUGAGGCACGAAGGCAGGGGAGCAAACCGGG
Molecule: ribosomal RNA, 253 nt
Filed under: uncultured bacterium
Lineage: Bacteria
Description: partial 16S ribosomal RNA
Rfam family: Bacterial small subunit ribosomal RNA
Source: RNAcentral